AGAUUGAACGCUGGCGGCAUGCCUAACACAUGCAAGUCGAACGGGAGUAGCAAUACUCUAGUGGCGGACGGGUGAGGAAUACGUAGGAAUUUGCCCUUAAGUGGGGGAUAACCCGGGGAAACCCGGAUUAAUACCGCAUGACCUCGAAAGAGCAAAGUGGGGGAUCGCAAGACCUCACGCUUUUGGAGAAGCCUACGUCGGAUUAGCUAGUUGGUGAGGUAAUGGCUCACCAAGGCGACGAUUCCGUAACUGGUCUGAGAGGAUGAUCAGUCACACCGGAACUGAGACACGGU
Molecule: ribosomal RNA, 293 nt
Filed under: uncultured soil bacterium
Lineage: Bacteria
Description: partial 16S ribosomal RNA
Rfam family: Bacterial small subunit ribosomal RNA
Source: RNAcentral